Gallus gallus (chicken) is the source of this 2350-nucleotide long non-coding RNA. RefSeq lists it as uncharacterized. The record is from RefSeq and is a predicted model, not a curated record. NCBI's taxonomy places the organism in Eukaryota, Metazoa, Chordata, Aves, Galliformes, Phasianidae. The transcript has 5 exons.
GCCGUUGAGCCUCCAUUUCAGAGCUCAGCGGGCGCUGACCGUGGCCAUGAGACGGCUCGGUCCGCAGCGGGCUUCGGAGCCCUGCCAGGGCUUUCUGGGGGCUGUAGGUGUGUGCUGCCCUCGUCUCGGCCCCAAAGGGCAGUGGGUGGCUGCUGCGAGGCCCCGAGUUCGCUCAGUCCCAUCCCCCACGCGCACAGUGUGUUCCACGUGCAUCCCUGAGCACGUGGCGUCCUACGGCGGCAGCGUGGCACCACCGGCUCUGCAAAGGCUGUCAGCGGGAGCUGUGCGGUUACGAACUGCCCCGAGGCCGCUGGAUGCUGUUGCAUGGCUCCUCCAUAGGGCACGGUGCUGCUGCGUGGCAGGGAAACCACGCGAGCUGCCGCUUUGUGGGAGCAGCCAGCCGUGCUCACCGCCAAAAGGGCCUUUAAAGCAACGUUAUUUCUUCGUAGGGCUGUCUGGAAACCCCCAUCUCUAUGGGGGAGGGCAGCUGCAGCCCUGGGGAGAGGCCUUGGUGCUGCUCCUUCCCAUACGAUGGCAGCAGAGGGCUGCAGCUGCUUCGGUGCUCUUCUCCCAACGUGCUUUUCUGCUGCCGCGGUUGUGUGGGGUUUUUUGGGGGGGGAGGGUGUCGGUUUGAGGCUGUUUCUUUUCCUCUGGAACGUUAUUUGCAUCGUAAAGGUAGGAAAAGAGCUCUGAGAUCAGCCAGUGGGGCCACCAACCCCUCAGCUCAUCUCCAAGCUCCUUAAUGCUGGUCAUUCUCCAGCUGAGCAGCUCCGGGUUGUGAGAUAGAGAGCUGAAAUAGCACCAGGGCUGCAUUUGAGGGAUGCCCUACAUGUCCCUUUGCACCGAUGCUGCUUGGGGUGGGUAUGGAGUACCCUUCUGUGUCUUUCUACAGCCUGGCAAUGGCUUUAAGGGCUUCCUGAGCCCGAGGCCACAACCAAACCCCCAUAUAAUCCACACAGCAGAGGAGCUCACCCACGUAACUACUUAAUGACUGGCAUAAUUAACGGUAGCAACGGUGGCACCAGGCUUGGCAAUGAAGUGGUGUGGUGUGGUGAUGGCGUUAUCUCGUGUUUGGUUUACAUUGGUUGAGUGAGUCACGGUGUUGUUGGCUUUUCUUAUUAUUUUGGACUCUGUAAUCCCAGCCCGUGUUUGUAAGCUGCUCCGGGCUGACAGGAUGAAAGCUAAUAAGGGAAAGGUACAAUUGGGCUUUAUAAAGGGGGGUGAUGGCCCUGCUGGAGUCAGGGGGAGCUGCGAGGUGGAUGGGAGUUGAAGGAUGCUGUUAAAUGCCUUCAGCCACGGUGGGCAUGGACUGGAUCUUUGGCUCCAGCAAAACAGCGCAGUCCUCCAUCGUUCCACACUGAAGGCAAACACAGCAGAACCCUGUGAUAAUAUCAGUAUUGAAACACAUAACCAGGUGCAAAUCACCUGGCUAACCGGGGAUCCCUGAGCAGAAAAGCAUUGGUGCUUCAGGGUGAUGAUAGAAGCAUGCAAUUAGCAGGGGGUGGUUGGGUCCAUCCAGCCCUUCUGUGCAGUGUGUAAGGGUGAGGAGGGGAUGGAGGCCCUGUUUUGUACAAUCCCUUCAAUGCAUUCACAUAUCCCAGACCUCUGGAGCUGCUGAGAAGGUGAGCAGAAUAACGCAGUGUCCUGUUUUCAUGUUGUCUUGCUUACAGAACGCAGCGAUACGGAUGGGAUUUACGCAGAGAAAUUUAAAGAAACGAAGAGAAAAUGCAACCAAAUAGUGCCUUUCAGCCAGGGGUCUUGAAGUGCUGUGUGUGCCUUAAAGCACGGAGCUGCUCAAGGAGCCCUGCAGAGGAGGGAUGCCCUCACCCAACUGGAGCAGGAGGGCUCACAUGGGAGCAGCAUGGCAGCCCCGAGCUGAGUGUUCAGAUAGAGGAAAGGGGCUGAGAGAGGACGAGAUGCAGCGUUCAGCCCUAAACAGAUGGGAACCUGUCAGCACAACGUGGAGAUAAUCAUCCGUUCGAGCCAUGGGAAGCUUCGUGGCUGAGAGGAAGUUAUUGCAGCCAACACAGCUCUGCUUUAUCGUCUCACCAGCUUCCUUGGGCAGAGCAUAUUGGGGGGGUUUAAAGGAAGGUGAAUUCCCAAUGGAUUUUUUGGGGUUAUGCAAACAGCCGCCUUCUGAGAUGGGCACACGUGUGAUGCUCACCUAAGCAAGCAGUGCUUUUCCCCUUGGAAACACCCCCUGAGCAUCUCAGUGAAGGGAGCCCAAAGCUGGAGGUGGGAUUACUCCCAGGUGAGGGAUUUUUAGGGUGAUUUGCAUUUAUGGGGUCAUUUGGUGCUGGGGCAGAGAUCGGAGCACUAAACCCGACUCGAGGAAGUCAAACAGAACAGG